GAUGAACGCUGGCGGCGUGCCUAAUACAUGCAAGUCGAGCGAACAGACGAGGAGCUUGCUCCUCUGACGUUAGCGGCGGACGGGUGAGUAACACGUGGAUAACCUACCUAUAAGACUGGGAUAACUUCGGGAAACCGGAGCUAAUACCGGAGAAUAUAUUGAACCGCAUGGUUCAAUAGUGAAAGACGGUUUUGCUGUCACUUAUAGAUGGAUCCGCGCGGCAUGAGCUAGUUGGUAAGGUAACGGCUUACCAAGGCGACGAUGCGUAGCCGACCUGAGAGGGUGAUCGGCCACACUGGAACUGAGACACGGUCCAGACUCCUACGGGAGGCAGCAGUAGGGAAUCGUCCGCAAUGGGCGAAAGCCUGACGGAGCAACGCCGCGUGAGUGAUGAAGGUCUUCGGAUCGUAAAACUCUGUUAUUAGGGAAGAACAAAUGUGUAAGUAACUAUGCACGUCUUGACGGUACCUAAUCAGAAAGCCACGGCUAACUACGUG
Molecule: ribosomal RNA, 497 nt
Filed under: uncultured bacterium
Lineage: Bacteria
Description: partial 16S ribosomal RNA
Rfam family: Bacterial small subunit ribosomal RNA
Source: RNAcentral